UAAAAACAACCGCCAUUUUAUUUGUUCACAAUUAUUUUUGUGGGCCAGAAUUUUGGAUUCGGAAUACUGAGGGUGGCCUGUUUCCGCUCUGUGACGUCUGGGAGCAGCUGCACCGUCUUGAGUGGCUGGGAACUGGCUGGAAUGGCUUGACUCAGUCAUAUGCCUGGAGCCUCAGUUAUGGCUGUUGCCUGGAUUCCUCAGCUUUGCUUGGUGUGGGCUCUCCAAGAGGCUGGCUUAGACUUCGUCACAGUAUGAUGUCUUAGGGUGAUUUAGCAUCUCACAUGGUAGCUGGCUUCCUAUAGGCCAUUCCAAGAGGAUAACCCGCAAUGUGCAAGCAUUUAGUAAGCCUCUGCUUGUGGCAAGCUUGCUGAUGUUCCAUUGGCCAAAUCAAGUCUCAUGACCAAACCCAGCUCCAUGUGGGAGGCCCUACAGAAAGGCAUGAGUGCUGGAAGGCAUGGAUUCAUUGGGGCCACUGAUAUCUACAGCAUACCCAGAAAAUAAUACCGUUAUUUAAAAGAUAAAUUUAAAUAUCCAUUUAUAAAUUUUUAAAUUUACCAUUAUAAAAAUGAUAUUAUUUAUCCUUGGUCGCCUAGUGGCUAGAAAAAAAAAAUGGUAUUAUUUACUAUUCGUUUUCUGUUGUGAAAGACCAAAUAGGUAUAUGUGAAACUAUGGUACAAGUUGCUUCAUGUCCAUGAAAGCUAUGGUUAGAAAUAUGUUAUUUUAUCCCAAAUAAAUGGCAUGCUCUAUUAUUUCACACAAAUUAAACUUUUAAAAAUCUCUAAGCUAGACCAAGUGUGAUGGCUCACUUCCAAUCCCAGCACUUUGGGAGGCCAAGAUCUUCCAUUUACAAUCAUAGUUGAUGUAUGAUUUGGUAAUGUACAUCAUAACAUAACGAAUAAUUUUUCAUCCAAGGACCUAAAAUAUCCUUAAAGUCUUAUUUAAUUUUCACUCUAAAAGAGCAGAAUGAGUUGGUGCUAAAAUAGAGAAAAAAAUCAUUUUUAGAUCUGCUUAAGAGACUACAAUACCUAGUAACGUAAAGUUCUCCUAGUAAAUUGAAAUAGAAAAAGAGAAAGUACCAAAAACAAAUAUGAAUCCAUUAUUGACCCAAAUAACAACAAGUCACCACAUACAAAUACUGCACAAAGAAAACUUAGUGACACUGGUUAUUUUUGAGUCUCUUUGAAAGAGUAAUGAUAAAUAUUAAUUUUACACCAGACAGUUAGUGUAUUUUAGUUAAACCAAUAGUAACUUUUGCUAGGGUGUGGUUCCUUUCCUUCUUUUUUUUUUUUUGCCUAAUUUCAAAUCGUUAGGGGCUGGUUUUCUAUUCUUUGGCAUUAAAGAUCAGAAACACCAAUUGUAGCUUUAAAGAGAGGAUGAAUCCAAUUUUAACAGAUGCUCAGUUCAGAAAAUAUCAAAAGCAACGCUUUACAAAAGAGUAUUAAACACAGAGACAAAAACUAUAUAGGACAUUGCCAAUGUAUCAGGUGACAAUGGGACUAAAUCACACUCAUUUUUGGUUUAACAGCUGUUAAAGAAGUCGAGACUGAGGUCUAGACGCAGCUGCUCCAAUCCACAGUGCUCCUCUGCACUGGCCUCAGAACAGUGGCCCACAUUCCUAGAAUGAGAAAAUGGCAUCUUCUUCAGAGGACAGAGAGGUGUGGAUUGUGGAAAGCCUGAUGCCCAGGCUGCCUGGCUACAGGGUGACAAUUCUGCCCAGUGUCUGGCUGCUGUGAACGUGCCUGAUGUUGAGACUUCUCUGGAUCUUCCAUGGACAAUGUUCUGAGAACCCCUUGUUAGGGUGAGACCUCGAGGCGCUGUCUUGCCUCAUGAUAUUAAAAAAAGACAUGAUGCAGCU
Cebus imitator (Panamanian white-faced capuchin) is the source of this 1855-nucleotide long non-coding RNA. RefSeq lists it as uncharacterized. The transcript is spliced from 3 exons. Lineage: Eukaryota; Metazoa; Chordata; Mammalia; Primates; Cebidae. The record is from RefSeq and is a predicted model, not a curated record.